CCUACGGGAGGCAGCAGUGGGGAAUAUUGCGCAAUGGGCGAAAGCCUGACGCAGCGACGCCGCGUGAGGGAUGAAGGUCUUCGGAUCGUAAACCUCUGUCAGCAGGGAAGAACGGUCACUGUGUUAAUCAGCAGUGAAUUGACGGUACCUGCAAAGGACGCACCGGCUAACUCCGUGCCAGCAGCCGCGGUAAUACGGAGGGUGCGAGCGUUAAUCGGAAUUACUGGGCGUAAAGCGCUCGUAGGCGGUAUGUCAAGUCAAGGGUGAAAUCCCCGCGCUCAACGUGGGAACUGCCUUUGAAACUGGCAAACUGGAGUGUGUGAGAGGAUAGUGGAAUUCCAGGUGUAGGAGUGAAAUCCGUAGAUAUCUGGAGGAACAUCAGUGGCGAAGGCGACUAUCUGGAACAUAACUGACGCUGAGGAGCGAAAGCGUGGGUAGCAAACAGGAUUAGAUACCCCUGUAGUC
This 465-nucleotide ribosomal RNA is filed under the name uncultured bacterium. Its description in RNAcentral is "partial 16S ribosomal RNA". It matches the Rfam family "Bacterial small subunit ribosomal RNA", at positions 338 to 795 of the family's 1533-position model. The record is from RNAcentral.